UGAAAGUUGCACGUACGGUUCUUUAAGGGGGAAAGUCCGAGAGGACCUACCUAUCUUGACUGUUUAAUUCGAUAAUACACGAAAAACCUUACCACAAUUUGUAUAAUAAUAUUACAGGAGUUGCACGGCUGUUUUCAGUUAAUGUUGUGAAACUAUGGUUUCCAUGUAAUUAACGAAAUCCCUGGCUUUAUUUUUGGAUGCGCUAGUCCCUCCGGGACCAGCAAGCUCUUAAUUUUUACUUAUUUUAGUUAUGAGGCGCAUGAAAGCGCUCUCAGAAUAAAAAAAGAGCUUGCGCCCUAAAAAAGAUUUUUAGGGCUCGCUACUACGAUAAGGCAUUAGAUCCUGGAUAUUUGGAUAGAAAAAGGGGACAAAGACAAGUCAUCAUGGCCUUUAUAUUGUGGGCUAUAAACGUGCUACAUCUUCCUAGACAAAGAGAUGCAAAAAUGUGAAUUUAAGCUAAUCUCAAAAAAUAGGAUAAAAAUUUUAAGGAUUGUAGUCUGAAAUUCGACUACAUGAAUAAGUAAUUACUAGUAAUCGUGAAUCACCAUGUCACGGUGAAUUACUCUCGGAUUGGUACUAACCACUCGUCACAUGCUGAAAAGAGCUUAUGCAAUAAGUUUGCUUUUCCCGCCCUCUCUCCCUUACUAACUAAGCCGACGAGAGGAUUAGUCUAUUAUUGGGAAUCUUCGUAUGCGCGGUUCUAAUUAGUGUUAAGUCGAAAUACGGUUCGUGUAGUGGAAGUUGCACGGG
Molecule: non-coding RNA, 750 nt
Filed under: Ophiocordyceps sinensis CO18
Lineage: Eukaryota; Fungi; Ascomycota; Sordariomycetes; Hypocreales; Ophiocordycipitaceae
Description: Bacterial small subunit ribosomal RNA
Rfam family: Bacterial small subunit ribosomal RNA
Source: Rfam by way of RNAcentral